CAUGCUGACGUGACUAAAUCUUUUCUUCUCUGGGCCAAAUAUCACCAAUGUUUGCGUUAUUCUUCACUUGGUGUAGAUUUAGGGUUUCUCACUAUUCUGACUGCCUGUACUAGUAUCCUGCUGCCCCACCUGGAAUGUGAUGCUCAGAGUUGUUCUUCUCGUAUUCUCUUUGGAGGAAGUCUACACACACCAAAGGGAUACUGCCCACCAAGAAAGACAGGACCACACAUGUUCAUUUGUGUAGCAAAUGGGAAGAAUUAUCAGACUUUACUCAAAGGAAAAAAAUUGUUGAAAAAAAUUGAAGUGGAUAACGUAAGGGAAGUACUGACAAAGGUGAGCGUAGAAGUCAAAAUAGCUCUUGCCUUCCUGGAGCAAUGUGCUACCACCUGGGGACUUAUCAGCAACAGAUUUGGCAGCAGGAUUCCUCAAAAGUAGGCCGUGGUGUCCUUUCCUACAGUUCAUUACCAGUGGGCAAGGAGGGCCUACUCGGGUUGCCAAAGUCUCAACACUGAUUCGCAGGCAGUGGGGAGAGAGCGUUUCCCGGAUGCGCACCUCCAGCCAGGAGGCAAACGUUUGCCACGGGGGAAUUUUUGUUUCUCCCUAAGCAAGAGGUUAUACUAAAGAAGGACUCCUUUGCGAAUGUUUACAUAUCCGACCCAAUUUUAUUUUUAAUUUUACCGUGCAUGUGUGCCGAGGCAUUUUGGUGAAGGAAAUGGUUACAGAUGUCACACUGGAAGAAUUCUUUUAUUUGGGGGUCUUGGGAUUUGAAGACUGCAUUGGAACUGUCAGUCUCAGCCAUUCUGUCGCAAAGUUCAUGAAAGGAAAACAUUUGAAAGCCAGAGGGGGAAAAUGAAAAGUAUCUGAUCUAGGCUGUGACUCUGUUGUCAACGUCAUUUUCAUGGAAAGAACCAUGGCCCUGACUUGGCAGUUUGUGAACACAGAAUUGUUUCCUUGAGGGAAGACACCACAGUGAAGACAGAGGAUGCCCAAACACUGGGCCAAAAAACCCAAAAUUUGUCAGCCACAGCAGGGACUGCAGCAUUGGGAGAAUGCCUCCCUGGUGGAUUGUGACUUCUUUUGUCCAGACGCUAUGCUUUCUAUGUAAUCAUCAUAUCAUUUGGAUGAAGGCUCAGACUUAAAAGUUAUAGAGAAAAUUGUCAGAAAUUUGGGUGGGGAGAAGGCUACCAUGUCAUGGGACAGCACCAUGGAGAGGCUCACAUGGCAAGGAGCUGAGCUCUGUGGAAAAUUCAGUCCUGACCAGAGUGGGGGCCAAGAUGUCGGCAUGUGAUGGCUGAACUUUGGAUGCACUGGAGUUUGGACUUGAGACAAAGCCUAUAGAAGACCCAAGAACUCUCCAAUGAGGAGAUCUUACCUUCUUAUGUACUAGCAGUGAGUGUAUACAGAGCCAUAGCUGGUGAACUAACCUGGAGGAGUCAACAGGAAACUUGCCAUUUGUAAUGUUGCCAAACUUCCAGGAGAUCAAUAGUAGAUCUUAAGGUCUGAUUUGGAACUAUUUGUCCCAUAUAUAUACCUGAACUUCUGUACUAUGAAAGUGAUCCUUGAUCAUGUGGAUUGAAAGAAGUGAUGUUAUGGGAAAUUCUGUUACUUGUUUACAAUUUUUCAUCAUCUCUGCAUCCUUGUCAUCCUUCUCUAAAGAAAACAUAUUCUCUUUAUCCCAUUGA
This is a long non-coding RNA of Chinchilla lanigera (long-tailed chinchilla), 1682 nucleotides long. RefSeq lists it as uncharacterized. Lineage: Eukaryota; Metazoa; Chordata; Mammalia; Rodentia; Chinchillidae. The transcript has 5 exons. The record is from RefSeq and is a predicted model, not a curated record.